GAGGGGGGUGCUGAAGAUGCUGUGCCUAGGGGCGCGUAAGGUGUAAAUCCGGCCCUGCUCAUCUGUUGUGGUACAACGGAAGCCUGAGGGUGAAUAAGGCAAUGAAUAUUUUCAAGAGCCCCACUUUUGUGCCCCCUAAUGGUGAGAGUGGAAAGGAAGCCAUGAACUAUGUGAUGUUCCAAGCAAUGUCACAAAGGCAUACCUCAAUGCACCUGGCACUGAAUGAAAACAAAUAUUGAAACAGCAGAAUUUUCCACAGAACAGAAAUUCCCAAUUUUCAACCAGCUGUCAGGAUUAUACACAGUAUCAAAUGCAAAGAAGCAGUGUUGCCACCUGACAAAGGAGGGUGAACAGCUCCCAGAACUGCUCCGACCACAGCUUGGAAGGGGGAGAGGGAACCCUGCUGCAGCCCUCCAGGCCUGCGAGAGGGGAGUGAAGAACCUCAGGAGGAGCAGAAGUGAGGCUGAGCUGAGGGGAAGUUGGAGGAGGGGGUUGAACUGGUGAGGACAUGCUAAUGGGGUGCUGAACUGAGGUUGGAAGGGCUGAACUGAAGGGGGCUCCUUCAGCAAGGGCCAGAAUGACCUUACCCAAUAAAUUUGGGAGAGUGGGCAACACUGUCUCACACUCACACUGGGGAGAGGCAAGGGGAGUUCAAAACUCAAUAGACAGCCCAAAAAUAAAAUCAACUCCCUCCUCCCCCAACAAUAUAGUCUUUUAAAAAGCCUCCUGAUUGUUUGGGCCAGUCUCCUGGUACUUUGGGGACUGACUCAUGAUUUUUGAUCUCUUCAGGUUGGCAAUCCUGAAAUAGCCAAAGCAAAGGUGCCAACUUCUGCUGGCACCGGUGGGUGCUCGACUCCCUUCUGCCCUCGACCCAGCCCCAACUCCACCCCUGCCCCGCCCCAUUCCAACCCCUUCCCCAAAGUACCCGCCCCAACUCCGCCCCCUCCCUGCCCCUAUUCCAACUCUGUCCCCAAAUCCCUGCCCCAGCGACACCUCUUCCUCGCCUCCUCCACUGAGCGCGCCACGUUCCCACUCCUCCUCCCUUCCUCCCAGAGCUUUUUACGCUGCAAAACUGUUGUUUUGUGGCAGCUGGGAUGCGGCGCACUCAGGGAAGAGGCGGAGGCAGAGGUGAGGUGAGGCGGGGGGGCGGGGAGGGGAGCUUGGCUGCCAGUGAGUGCAGAGCACCCACCAAUUUUUCCCCAGCGGUGCUCCAGCCCCAGAGCACCCAUGGAGAAAGCGCCUAUGAGCCAAAGGGACAAAUAGUAUUUGUGUUGUUUGUCACAAAUGAUAUAGUAGGAGAAAUGGACCUCCAGUGGACAGUACUAUCAUCACACAAACCUUCUGUGAAAAUAAUGAAAAUUUACAGCAAAAUAUAAUUAAAGGGAAUGGUCUAAACUUAACAAAUUUCACAUCAGUCUAUACAAUAGGCAUUCCCAGCUCCUGCUGAUGCCUCAGUAAAACUAAUAUUUCUUCCAUCAUAAAUGCAUUGCAAUAGCCUAAGGGGAAACAAUCCAGAGGUCUGUGAGAGUUGAAAUAGUAAUUUGUUUUGAAGAAAAUUAAGGAGUGACGGGCUCUAUUUGAGAAAUUAGAGGGAAAGAGUUUUUGUGCCUUUGUUUUAAACAAAGAACUGGGUUUGAGUUUUAUUUUCCAUGAGAAAAGUUCUGGCUAGUUUUGCAAAAAGUCACCUGGUUUUCACAUGAGGAAAUACAGUAUUUCUGUGACAAAGCCUGUCAUUGUUUUCUUUAUCAAUUUUAUCUUUCAGAGGUUUGUAGCUCAGAGAUAUGUGCUUUGUCCUGAAACUUUACAGUGCUUUUAUAAACUUUACAAAGGAUUUAUAAUAAUAAAUGUAUAUGGCUCUUUACAAACAUAGAUAGGUCAUUAUCCCUGCCCCAAAGAACUUGCAGAUUAAGGGGAGGUCUACACUAGUGUAAGGCCAAUUUUCAAUUAUGCCAUUUUGUUUUGAUAAAGCUGUUGUUUGGCCUCCAUGUUGUUAUCCCCUUCUUGUUUGCGCCCUUUUCAGUCCAAGGCAGGAAACUGCAGGGUUAUAGAAAUUUAAUCUGCCUGGAUACUGCUGGCAAGUCUGCCCAGUAACCAGAAAGAGCGGGAAAGAACAUGUGAUCAGGGUGUAGUCUAUAUAAGGACUUGUCACACAGAGACUGGUUGCUGUCCAUCCCAGUGGCAGCCCAGUGCCUACAGUCCUAGCCAAGACCUCAAGUCAACCCUAGAUGAAAAAUGACUAGCGUAGCUUUGGUUCCUGAUUCCCAGUGUUAUUAUUCCUGGUUCCUGCAUCGUUCCUGAGGGUUCCCAAGUUCCUGUAUUCCAGUGAUCCUGUUGUGUUCCUGUCCU
This is a long non-coding RNA of Mauremys mutica (yellowpond turtle), 2346 nucleotides long. RefSeq lists it as uncharacterized. The record is from RefSeq and is a predicted model, not a curated record. NCBI's taxonomy places the organism in Eukaryota, Metazoa, Chordata, Testudines, Geoemydidae. The transcript has 3 exons.